Molecule: long non-coding RNA, 358 nt
Organism: Archocentrus centrarchus (flier cichlid)
Lineage: Eukaryota; Metazoa; Chordata; Actinopteri; Cichliformes; Cichlidae
Exons: 4
Source: RefSeq, a predicted model, not a curated record
UUAUGUGAACAAGCAAACCGGGAAUCUGAAGACAACAAGUGUGCUGAGCCGCCGUACGCUCACAGAUCUGAGGCGGAGCUAAAGGAAGAUUUCAGAGGCCGCAGCAUCACAUCACCUGCCAUCGAGGGUAGAUCUUUCAAGUCCAGCAUCACCAUCCAUCUCCCUCCUGCGUUAAAACAAGCUGCAAAAAAGGCUAACAAAGUCGCCUGCACUUUCUUCAAGAACAACUCCCUGCUCCAGGAGGGUCACAAAGAUGCCAAGCCUAUCAGUGAUGUGGUGGAAAUCACAGUGGAGAAUGAAAUCAUCAAAGAUCUGUCUGAGCCCAUUACGAUUGACUUUUAUCAUGAAGUCGUGUCUG